GCUCCAAAAAAUAAAGGAUAAAGGAAAUUCAUACCGGAGAAGGACCACUGUUCUGCCCUGAUCUGUGACCACUGUCCUGUCUGACGAUAACUAUCUGUUCUGUAACUACUGCCAUGUGUGAACAGAGUGUAGACAGCCUGACAUGUGUGAACACACUGAUUACAACCUGCUUUGUGUGAUCAUAAUGAACAAACCUGCCAUGUUGCCAUACUGAUGACUAUCUGAAAUGUGUGAUCACACUGAUGACAAACUGCCAUGUGUGCCACACUGAUGACACACUGCUAUUUGCCACACUGUUAACACCCUGCCAUGUGUGAAUAGUUUGAGGACAAUCUGACAUGUAUGCAUGAACUGAUGACAGCAUUCUAUGUGUGGCACACUGAUGAACACCUGCCAUGUGUGCCACACUGAUGACAAUGGGCCAUGUGUAAAUACAUUGUUGACAACCUGUCAUGUGUGAACUCACUGAUGAUACCCUAUCAUGUGUGAACACAAUGAUGACAACCUCACAUGUGUGCCACACUAAGGACAAUGGGCCAUGUGUGAUUACCCUGAUUACAAACCAUCAUGUUUUCCACACUGAUGGCAGCAUGCCAUGAAUGAAUACUCUGAUAACAGCCAUUUUUGAACACACUGUUGAUAACCUUCCAUGUGUGAACACACUGAUAUCAACCUGCCAUGUAAGAUAGCACUGUUGACAACCUGCCAUGCAUGAUAUCACUUAUGAGAACCUGGAAUGUGUGAUCACACUGAUGACAACCUGCCCUGUGAGCCACACUGAAGACAACCUGAGGGAGAGGGUGAAUUUGCUGAUGACAAACUACCACUGAUGACAUCUUGCAUGG
Mus musculus (house mouse) is the source of this 845-nucleotide long non-coding RNA. RefSeq annotates it as predicted gene, 35458. The transcript is spliced from 2 exons. Lineage: Eukaryota; Metazoa; Chordata; Mammalia; Rodentia; Muridae. The record is from RefSeq and is a predicted model, not a curated record.